GAAAAAGGGUAAAGGAAGAGUUUUCUUUCAGGUGCUCUGUGUUUUAUAGUAAGAACAGGCAAAGGGUCUGGAGAGUCAUUGAUGUCUCUUCUUAAGGUAGCUAUGGACUACAGAGUUGAUGGAUGGACUGUUAAGAGAAAAGGAGGAGGAGCAGUUGUGGCAAGGCUCACAGGAGCAAGCAAACUGAAAGUGAGAGGGAAAGCAAGUGAGAUCACGCAGGCUGACUUCAGCAGCAGAGAGAAGUAGCUCUGGAGGGGCCACUCCAGCCCUACGGAGCUGUGAUCACUGCAGUAUAUCCUGUUUAACACGUGUGUGUCCUUAGACCCAGUAAACUACAUGAGAGUUCAAUCAGAGGUGGAAGAUCAUGUCAUCUGAUAGGUUCCUCUUUCCACCUCUCUUUGGACAGUGAUUGCUUCUCCUCCAUUUCUCCUGCUGUGUGCCAUCUGUCCACACUUGUGCAAUAAGAUCAAUAUCCUGUCAGACUUCAUCAUGUGUCCUCUUUAGUAUCUCAUUGUGUAAAUCUGCAUAGCUGUAAAUCAGAUUUAUUUUUUUUAAUUUGAAAAAAUAAUAAUGAAUUCCUCAUCACAGCAAAGAUGUCGUUGUUACUGUGUCAGUCUAGCACAGAUAAUGAAGUCAAUAAGGGAUCUCUGUUAUGCUUGUAUCUGGCCAGAAAAAUUAGUUUUAGAAGUUAAUGCCACCAGGACAGUUGAGGAAAACAGCUGCAACAUAGGACCUGGAUGGUAAAGCUCAAGAGUAAUCAAGAUGUCUGUUCCAUGGGGUAGACUCCCUGUUAUACACACAUCCCUGGGAUACUGGAAACCUUUGACAACCGGAGCCUCACCAUUUCUUUUUUCCCCCUGAAACCCGGAUUUGUUAAAGUAAUAAAGUAGAAAAGUAAUAAAGUAAAAAAGUAAUA
RNAcentral lists this long non-coding RNA (916 nucleotides) under Anser brachyrhynchus (Pink-footed goose). RNAcentral's name for it is "lncRNA (ENSABRG00000018346.1)". Lineage: Eukaryota; Metazoa; Chordata; Aves; Anseriformes; Anatidae. The record is from RNAcentral.